GUCGGUGAUGCCAUCCAACCAUCUCAUCCUCUGUUGUCUCUGUUGUCUCCUCCCAACCAGCUCACAAAGGUUCCAGAAGUUUAUCAGCUGGCUCUUGUGACUGGCAGGAGUCAAGUCCAGCAGACCUGUGCUUGUAGCAGUACAGUCUUGGAUCUCUGUGUUCACAAAGCAGAGCAGGGGCAGACUGGGACGGAGGACUGCCUUCGGGUUUUCUCCCACAGACGGAAAUUCAAAGCCAACAGGCCUCUCCCCGAGAGACUGCAGACCCAGGCCAAGGUUCCCAGGAAAUGGCCAGCUCACCCUGUCUGACAAGUGACCUCUCCUGACAAGUGGCCAAUUGAGUUUCAAAACAACAGUGCCACUGACUAAAAGAAAAUUGCCUCUUUAAAAAAAAAUUGUAUUUAUUUAUUUUUGGCUGUGCUGGGUCUUCGUUGCUGUGAGGGCUUUUCUCUAGUCGUUACAAGUGAGGGCUACUCUUUAACUGUCAUAUGCAGGCUUCUCAUGGCAGCGGCUUCUCUUGGGUGGAGCAUGUGCUCUGGGCAUGGGGGCUUUAGUAGUUGUGGCCUGGGGCUCAGUAGUUGCCGUUCCCGGGCUUUAGAGCCCAGACUUAAAUAGUUGUGGUACAUGGGCUUGUGGAGUUAGUUGCUCUGGGGCAUGUGGAGUCUUUAGUGUCAGAGGUCAAACCCAAGUCUCCUGCAUUGGUAGGCAGACUUACACUGAGCCACCAGGGAAGGCCAAAAUUGCCUCUUCUUAAAGAACGCAAGGUGGUUCAUAGGUGGAUCAGAGUUCCACUCUUCAGAUGCAGGAAUAUGGGGGACACUCAUACUCAUUCCACAGAACAGGAUAUCUGGGUCACCCCUUCCCAGAGGGGCUGACGCAUGCGUAUGCUCUGCUUACGCUCGAGGGAAUUGGUAGCUGGAGGUAGUGCAGGACCCGCCGUACUGGGCAUGCUUUC
RNAcentral lists this long non-coding RNA (955 nucleotides) under Bos indicus x Bos taurus (hybrid cattle). Its description in RNAcentral is "lncRNA (ENSBIXG00005021945.1)". The record is from RNAcentral. Lineage: Eukaryota; Metazoa; Chordata; Mammalia; Artiodactyla; Bovidae.